This 73-nucleotide microRNA precursor is filed under the name Medicago truncatula (barrel medic). Its description in RNAcentral is "MIR2629 microRNA precursor family". It matches the Rfam family "MIR2629 microRNA precursor family". Lineage: Eukaryota; Viridiplantae; Streptophyta; Magnoliopsida; Fabales; Fabaceae. The record is from Rfam by way of RNAcentral.
AGCGCAGAAGAUCCUUGGCAGUUAACUGCAGCCGGAUUUUUCAAAAUUUCGGCAGUUAACUGCCGAAGAAAAC